ACUAUUUUGCCACCAGUAUGUGGGUGGUUGGAGGAAAUGGAAAAAAUAGAAAUUCACAAUGCCUAAUGAUUUAUUAAUGAGUUUCAUCUUCUCUCUGGAAUGGGGACCACUAAUUACAUGUGUGUCUAAUCACUGGCUGCGGAUGGAAUGCUGCAGCAUCAGCCGAGCCCCAGAGGGGACCCAGGUGGAGUUAAUGAAGUAAAGACUGGGUGGAUAAUUUUAGCAUCUUGGGCCAGAUCUGGGCUAUGCCAUUCUUCACCCCCAGCCAACCCAGGAGUUCCUAAGACUUAGCAUUGCUGGCCCUCCAGGGCAACUGCAGAGGCAGAGGCAAAUCCAAGCGCUUUGGAACGGUGGAAUGGGAGCCUUGGGGAGGCCCAUCCUGGGCUGCAGUUCCAGGUCUUCACUUUGUAGAUGAGUAAACUGGUGCACAGAAGCGACUUGUCCUGGACCCCAGGAUUCACACUCAGAGUUGCGCUUUCCUGUGUCGUAGCAUCUGCCCACUGGAGAAGAAAACAAACGAGAGUUCUCUCUCACUUUUAUGUGUGGACUCCUGCUGCGCAUCAGCCGAGUGGGACAGAACGCCUCGACUUGGACCUGAAGCCCGGGAGCCUUCUGUGACCAGCAAGGCGUGGAGAAGUCACCCCAGUCCGUCGUCUGCUCACCUGUGAAACAACCCAAAACCCCAUCUUCACUUUGUCUCACGAAACUGAGGCGUUGAGGCUAUGGUGGACUUUCCAAGCCCCUAUCCAGAGAGCGCCACUAACCCAACAUUGUGCAGACCAAGGGGCACCAUCAGUGACAGCGUGUCAUCUGUGGCAGACUGGAGUUUGAGUGGCAGAAAGAUUCACAGAAAAGAGUGGGAACCAAAACCCCAAACCCCAGAUAAACAGAAGAUCGGCCCCACUGCCAUCUGCCCGGGGCUAGCUGCUGAAAAGGACUUUCUCAAACCAGCAGCCCCUAAAGCCACCCCGCGUAAAUGCCAGGGGAGAAUCAGUGUGAAGAAGCUCGAAAAUCCAGAAUAUUUGUUCCUUGCAGCUUUGGCUGAGGGCGGAGUCUUCCCUUAAC
Molecule: non-coding RNA, 1065 nt
Organism: Heterocephalus glaber (naked mole-rat)
Lineage: Eukaryota; Metazoa; Chordata; Mammalia; Rodentia; Bathyergidae
Source: RefSeq, a predicted model, not a curated record